UACGGAGGGUGCGAACGUUAAUCGGAAUCACUGGGCGUAAAGCGCGCGUAGGCGGUUCGUUAAGUGGGAUGUGAAAUCCCCGGGCUUAACCUGGGAAUUGCAUUUCAAACUGGCCGACUAGAGUACGGUAGAGGGAGGUAGAAUUUCCUGUGUAGCGGUGAAAUGCGUAGAUAUAGGAAGGAAUACCAGUGGCGAAGGCGGCCUCCUGGAUCGAUACUGACGCUGAGGCGCGAAAGCGUGGGGAGCAAACGGG
Molecule: ribosomal RNA, 253 nt
Filed under: uncultured bacterium
Lineage: Bacteria
Description: partial 16S ribosomal RNA
Rfam family: Bacterial small subunit ribosomal RNA
Source: RNAcentral